CCUACGGGCGGCUGCAGUCGAGAAUCAUUCACAAUGGGGGAAACCCUGAUGGUGCGACGCCGCGUGGGGGAAUGAAGGUCUUCGGAUUGUAAACCCCUGUCAUGUGGGAGCAAAUUAAAAAGAUAGUACCACAAGAGGAAGAGACGGCUAACUCUGUGCCAGCAGCCGCGGUAAUACAGAGGUCUCAAGCGUUGUUCGGAAUCACUGGGCGUAAGGCGUGCGUAGGCUGUUUCGUAAGUCGUGUGUGAAAGGCGCGGGCUCAACCCGCGGACGGCACAUGAUACUGCGAGACUAGAGUAAUGGAGGGGGAACCGGAAUUCUCGGUGUAGCAGUGAAAUGCGUAGAUAUCGAGAGGAACACUCGUGGCGAAGGCGGGUUCCUGGACAUUAACUGACGCUGAGGCACGAAGGCCAGGGGAGCGAAAGGGAUUAGAUACCCCGGUAGUC
Molecule: ribosomal RNA, 446 nt
Filed under: uncultured bacterium
Lineage: Bacteria
Description: partial 16S ribosomal RNA
Rfam family: Bacterial small subunit ribosomal RNA
Source: RNAcentral